This 484-nucleotide ribosomal RNA is filed under the name uncultured bacterium. Its description in RNAcentral is "partial 16S ribosomal RNA". It matches the Rfam family "Bacterial small subunit ribosomal RNA", at positions 30 to 507 of the family's 1533-position model. The record is from RNAcentral.
AUUGAACGCUGGCGGCAGGCCUAACACAUGCAAGUCGAGCGGAUGAAGGGAGCUUGCUCCUGGAUUCAGCGGCGGACGGGUGAGUAAUGCCUAGGAAUCUGCCUGGUAGUGGGGGAUAACGUCCGGAAACGGGCGCUAAUACCUCAUACGUCCUGAGGGAGAAAGUGGGGGAUCUUCGGACCUCACGCUAUCAGAUGAUCCUAGGUCGGAUUAGCUAGUUGGUGGGGUAAAGGCCUACCAAGGCGACGAUCCGUAACUGGUCUGAGAGGAUGAUCAGUCACACUGGAACUGAGACACGGUCCAGACUCCGACGGGAGGCAGCAGUGGGGAAUAUUGGACAAUGGGCGAAAGCCUGAUCCAGCCAUGCCGCGUGUGUGAAGAAGGUCUUCGGAUUGUAAAGCACUUUAAGUUGGGAGGAAGGGCAGUAAGUUAAUACCUUGCUGUUUUGACGUUACCAACAGAAUAAGCACCGGCUAACUUCGUG